Molecule: ribosomal RNA, 448 nt
Filed under: uncultured bacterium
Lineage: Bacteria
Description: partial 16S ribosomal RNA
Rfam family: Bacterial small subunit ribosomal RNA
Source: RNAcentral
UCCAGACUCCUACGGGAGGCAGCAGUGGGGAAUAUUGCACAAUGGGCGAAAGCCUGAUGCAGCAACGCCGCGUGAAGGAAGAAGGGUUUCGGCUCGUAAACUUCUAUCAACAGGGACGAAAGAAAUGACGGUACCUGAAGAAGAAGCCCCGGCUAACUACGUGCCAGCAGCCGCGGUAAUACGUAGGGGGCAAGCGUUAUCCGGAUUUACUGGGUGUAAAGGGGGCGCAGACGGCGAUGCAAGCCAGGAGUGAAAGCCCGGGGCCCAACCCCGGGACUGCUCUUGGAACUGCGUGGCUAGAGUGCAGGAGGGGCAGGCGGAAUUCCUGGUGUAGCGGUGAAAUGCGUAGAUACCAGGAGGAACACCGGUGGCGAAGGCGGCCUGCUGGACUGCAACUGACGUUGAGGCCCGAAAGCGUGGGGAGCAAACAGGAUUAGAUACCCCAGUA